CUCGCUAUUGGCGAUACACUGUCAGUGGCUAAGCGAAAGUGAUAAGUAAUCCACCUGGGGAGUACGAUCGCAAGGUUGAAACUCAAAGGAAUUGACGGGGGCCCGCACAAGCGGUGGAGCAUGUGGUUUAAUUCGAUGAUACGCGAGGAACCUUACCAGGUCUUAAAUGCAUAACGAACAGUUGGGAAACCAACCUUUCUUCGGACGGAAUGCAAGGUGCUGCAUGGUUGUCGUCAGCUCGUGCUGUGAGGUGUCAGGUUAAGUCCUAUAACGAGCGCAACCCCUAUUCUUAGUUGCCAGCGGUUCGGCCGGGGACUCUAAGAAAACUGCCAGUGCAAGCUGUGAGGAAGGUGGGGAUGACGUCAAAUCAUCACGGCCCUUACGACCUGGGCCACACACGUGCUACAAUGGUAGGUACAAAGAGCAGCCACUUGGCGACAAGGAGCUAAUCUCAAAAACCUAUCUCAGUUCGGAUUGGAGUCUGAAACUCGACUCUAUGAAGCUGGAAUCGCUAGUAAUCGCGCAUCAGCCAUGGCGCGGUGAAUACGUUCCCGGGCCUUGUACACACCGCCCGUCAAGCCAUGGAAGCUGGGAGUACCUGAAGUCGGUAACCAUAUAGGAGCUGCCUAGGGUAAAACUAGUAACUGGGGCU
RNAcentral lists this ribosomal RNA (652 nucleotides) under uncultured marine bacterium. RNAcentral's name for it is "bacterial SSU rRNA". It matches the Rfam family "Bacterial small subunit ribosomal RNA", at positions 816 to 1482 of the family's 1533-position model. The record is from RNAcentral.